UGUAUCUGAAGUCUGACGAGGAUGAGAACCUCCGGGGGCAAGAGGUUCGACCCGAGCGAAGCGAGAGAACGUUGCGUCAGCAACGGCCCGCAGGGCGAGUCAUCCUCUAUCAUCGAACU
RNAcentral lists this small RNA (119 nucleotides) under Salmonella enterica. Its description in RNAcentral is "RtT sRNA". It matches the Rfam family "RtT RNA". From Rfam's summary of the family: This family represents a bacterial cis-regulatory element known as RtT RNA. The exact function of RtT is unknown although it is thought that it may be involved in changing the cellular response in relation to amino acid starvation. The record is from RNAcentral. Lineage: Bacteria; Pseudomonadati; Pseudomonadota; Gammaproteobacteria; Enterobacterales; Enterobacteriaceae.